RNAcentral lists this ribosomal RNA (716 nucleotides) under uncultured bacterium. RNAcentral describes it as "bacterial SSU rRNA". It matches the Rfam family "Bacterial small subunit ribosomal RNA", at positions 505 to 1220 of the family's 1533-position model. The record is from RNAcentral.
GUGCCAGCCGCCGCGGUAACACGUAGGAGGCAAACGUUAUCCGNGAAUUUACUGGGCGUAAAGCNGCGUGUAGGUGGUUACUGUAAAGUAGGGGCGUGAAAAGCUCCCCGGCUCAACUGGGAGAGGCCGUUUCUAAACUACAGAACUAGAGGAUGGUAGAGGGAGGUGGAAUUCCAGGUGUAGCGGUGGAAUGCGCAGAUAUCUGGAGGGAACACCAGUGGCGAAGGCGGCCUCCUGGACCAUUCCUGACACUCAGACGCGAAAGCUAGGGUAGCAAACGGGAUUAGAGACCCCGGUAGUCCUAGCCCUAAACGAUGUAGACUCGGCGUCGGUGGUUUAAUCACCAUCGGUGUCCAAGCUAACGCGAUAAGUCUACCGCCUGGGGACUACGGCCGCAAGGUUAAAACUCAAAGGAAUUGACGGGUCCCCGCACAAGCAGCGGAGCGUGUGGUUUAAUUCGUUGCUACACGAAGAACCUUACCUGGGUUUGACAUAGCAGUGGUAGGGAAGCGAAAGGCGGACCGACCCUUCGGGGAGCUGUUACAGGUGUUGCAUGGCUGUCGUCAGCUCGUGUCGUGAGAUGUUCGGUUAAGUCCGCUAACGAGCGCAACCCGCGUUGUGUGUUACAAGUGUCACACAAUACCGCCGGUUUUAAGUCGGGAGGAAGGUGCGGAUGACGUCAAGUCAGCAUGACCGUUUAUAUCCAGGGCUACACA